ACUCUCAAUGUCUGCCCAUGGGAAGGUCUGAGGCUGGGAAAGCGUGGUAUCCUUCUGGGUUGCCAGGAAAGCGUGCUUCAGCAACGAGGAAA
This 92-nucleotide non-coding RNA is filed under the name Pelagodinium bei. Lineage: Eukaryota; Dinophyceae; Suessiales; Suessiaceae. The record is from RNAcentral.